CUACUUUUGAACUUUUAAACCUCUAAUUCCCAAAGAAAAUUUCCAAAAUCUAAAAGAGGAAUCAAAUUUCUUCAUAAAACUUUUCAAAAGCUUUUUGUUUUUCAGUCGUUUACCUCUCUCUCUCUCCCUUUUGUGUGAGUUCGAAAAGGGAAUAUGCUGCCCUAAAUUUUAAAUUUCCCUAGUAGUACAGUCCUUUGCUACAGUUGUCCAUCCUUUUCCCCCCAAUAUCAAAAUUUUCAUCACAAGGAUAAGGAAAACUGUACACAAUCCAGAACAUUCUGAUAUUUACCCCAUCUAAAAUCCCACUUUUAACCUUUCAAACACUGAUUAUUGCAACUUUACCUAUCAUAUCCUAAACUAUGACGGUUUUAUUACCUCAAAGCCCCUCUCCUGAAAAGCUUUCUAGAAUCUACCCCAGAAUUAAAUCCCAAUCAACCCCUUAAAGUCACUAAAAUUAAUCUUUCAAACUCCCUUUUAAAACAAAUGACAGUCAAAACUCCUAUUUCAAACAAUUGAAAACAAAUCAGAGAAAGAUUAAACAAAACCAAUUGAAAGAAAUAGAAACAUAAAUCGAACCUUAGUUAACCUACCAAGCGAAACAAGAACAUAUUGAAUGAACUAAGGCUAAAUAAAUGAUUAAUUAAUAAAAUAGCCAAAACUCUAAUUUAACUUAAGGAAUAACCAACAAACAAAAAGAGCAGAGAUUUGAGCUAUUGACUAGUAAUGAAUCUUCAUAGAAAAGGAAGAAGUGGAUACCAAUUAGACCUCAGAAUUUACGAGAAUGAUGACGACUUCAAUUCGAACUCCGACGGGCAAGAAUCUCGUCCAAUUGGUGAGAAUUGCAACAUGAAUACUAGCCGGACUUUCAUCUACCGCUAGUGCUUCAUGGCACAAUCCUCAAAAUACGCCAAGAAAGAGAAAAGGCAGAGGUUUCAAACUAUUUUGGAUAAUUAGUGAUUAUUUGCUCGGAAUCCGGCAAAUCUGUGAGAUAGGAUGAUCUUCAAAAUUGAAAUGGCCUUCUUCAAUGAAGAACUGGGGAAUUCGUGUAGUUUUCAUCAUGAAUUGAGGACCAAAUUAAGAAAAUUAUAGCAAAGGAAAAAUGUUCGGAUUUUUAUUUCUUAGAUCUUAAAUUUGGAGAAACUAGGUGGCCUUUUUGAGAAAUCAAUGGCGGAAUAUGAAUAGGGAGAUGAUAAGGGUUGCAUGGUUAAAAGCUGGAUGGGUCUGAAGGUGCUCCGCCGCCAUGAGACGAUUUUCGGGUGGCGGAGAUACGACGGAGAUAGACGGCGAUUUUGGAGAAGAGAGAGACCUAGGUUUCUUGUCUAUUUUGUUUAAACGGGUUAAUGAAGAUAUAGGGAAGGUCUGGGUCGUUUG
RNAcentral lists this long non-coding RNA (1371 nucleotides) under Nicotiana benthamiana. Its description in RNAcentral is "long non-coding RNA (NBEN_LNC010111)". Lineage: Eukaryota; Viridiplantae; Streptophyta; Magnoliopsida; Solanales; Solanaceae. The record is from RNAcentral.